UCACACUAUCAUUAACUGAAUCCAUAGGUUAAUGAGGCGAACCGGGGGAACUGAAACAUCUAAGUACCCCGAGGAAAAGAAAUCAACCGAGAUUCCCCCAGUAGCGGCGAGCGAACGGGGAGGAGCCCAGAGCCUGAAUCAGCAUGUGUGUUAGUGGAAGCGUCUGGAAAGGCGCGCGAUACAGGGUGACAGCCCCGUACACAAAAGCGCAUGUGCUGUGAGCUCGAUGAGUAGGGCGGGACACGUGGUAUCCUGUCUGAAUAUGGGGGGACCAUCCUCCAAGGCUAAAUACUCCUGACUGACCGAUAGUGAACCAGUACCGUGAGGGAAAGGCGAAAAGAACCCCGGCGAGGGGAGUGAAAAAGAACCUGAAACCGUGUACGUACAAGCAGUGGGAGCCCCACCACCAAAGCAUUUGCUGUACCGCGUUGACGGAGCGAAGCGACGUCAAACCGAUAAAACAGCAGUGUAAAGUGAGCCGCAGGGC
Molecule: ribosomal RNA, 487 nt
Filed under: Salmonella enterica subsp. enterica serovar Enteritidis
Lineage: Bacteria; Pseudomonadati; Pseudomonadota; Gammaproteobacteria; Enterobacterales; Enterobacteriaceae
Description: partial 23S ribosomal RNA
Rfam family: Bacterial large subunit ribosomal RNA (bases 1-384)
Source: RNAcentral